GGAACCCAGCAUCUUUAAUAGGAUGUUACGAUUGUGUGAAUACAUAGCACAUUCGAGGUAGACGCAGAGAACUGAAACAUCUAAGUACCUGCAGGAAGAGAAAGAAAAUUCGAUUCCCUGAGUAGCGGCGAGCGAAACGGGAAAAGCCCAAACCAACAAGCUUGCUUGUUGGGGUUGUAGGACUCCAAUAUGGUCGUUCUUUCAGAUAGUCGAAUGACUUGGAAAAGUCAGUCAAAGAGGGUAAAAACCCCGUAGACGAAAUGUGGAAGACACCUAGGAGGAUCCUGAGUACGGCGGAACACGAGAAAUUCCGUCGGAAUCCGGGAGGACCAUCUCCCAAGGCUAAAUACUCCCUAGUGACCGAUAGUGAACCAGUACCGUGAGGGAAAGGUGAAAAGCACCCCGGAAGGGGAGUGAAAUAGAA
RNAcentral lists this ribosomal RNA (424 nucleotides) under Enterococcus faecium. Its description in RNAcentral is "partial 23S ribosomal RNA". It matches the Rfam family "Bacterial large subunit ribosomal RNA", at positions 123 to 548 of the family's 2925-position model. Lineage: Bacteria; Bacillati; Bacillota; Bacilli; Lactobacillales; Enterococcaceae. The record is from RNAcentral.